GGGGUUGUGGCUCAGUGGUAGAGCGCUCACCUAGCACAUGAGAGGCCCUGGAUUGGAUCCUCAGCAUUCCUU
Molecule: non-coding RNA, 72 nt
Organism: Ictidomys tridecemlineatus (thirteen-lined ground squirrel)
Lineage: Eukaryota; Metazoa; Chordata; Mammalia; Rodentia; Sciuridae
Source: Rfam